AGGAAUAUUGGUCAAUGGGCGUUAGCCUGAACCAGCCAAGUAGCGUGAAGGAUGAAGGCUCUAUGGGUCGUAAACUUCUUUUAUAUAAGAAUAAAGUGCAGUAUGUAUACUGUUUUGUAUGUAUUAUAUGAAUAAGGAUCGGCUAACUCCGUGCCAGCAGCCGCGGUAAUACGGAGGAUCCGAGCGUUAUCCGGAUUUAUUGGGUUUAAAGGGAGCGUAGGUGGACUGGUAAGUCAGUUGUGAAAGUUUGCGGCUCAACCGUAAAAUUGCAGUUGAUACUGUCAGUCUUGAGUACAGUAGAGGUGGGCGGAAUUCGUGGUGUAGCGGUGAAAUGCUUAGAUAUCACGAAGAACUCCGAUUGCGAAGGCAGCUCACUGGACUGCAACUGACACUGAUGCUCGAAAGUGUGGGUAUCAAACAGGAUUAGAUACCCUGGUAGUCCACACAGUAAACGAUGAAUACUCGCUGUUUGCGAUAUACAGUAAGCGGCCAAGCGAAAGCAUUAAGUAUUCCACCUGGGGAGUACGCCGGCAACGGUGAAACUCAAAGGAAUUGACGGGGGCCCGCACAAGCGGAGGAACAUGUGGUUUAAUUCGAUGAUACGCGAGGAACCUUACCCGGGCUUAAAUUGCAGUGGAAUGAUGUGGAAACAUGUCAGUGAGCAAUCACCGCUGUGAAGGUGCUGCAUGGUUGUCGUCAGCUCGUGCCGUGAGGUGUCGGCUUAAGUGCCAUAACGAGCGCAACCCUUAUCUUUAGUUACUAACAGGUUAUGCUGAGGACUCUAGAGAGACUGCCGUCGUAAGAUGUGAGGAAGGUGGGGAUGACGUCAAAUCAGCACGGCCCUUACGUCCGGGGCUACACACGUGUUACAAUGGGGGGUACAGAAGGCAGCUAGCGGGUGACCGUAUGCUAAUCCCAAAAGCCUCUCUCAGUUCGGAUCGAAGUCUGCAACCCGACUUCGUGAAGCUGGAUUCGCUAGUAAUCGCGCAUCAGCCACGGCGCGGUGAAUACGUUCCCG
RNAcentral lists this ribosomal RNA (1018 nucleotides) under uncultured bacterium. Its description in RNAcentral is "bacterial SSU rRNA". It matches the Rfam family "Bacterial small subunit ribosomal RNA", at positions 357 to 1376 of the family's 1533-position model. The record is from RNAcentral.